This 328-nucleotide ribosomal RNA is filed under the name uncultured soil bacterium. Its description in RNAcentral is "bacterial SSU rRNA". It matches the Rfam family "Bacterial small subunit ribosomal RNA", at positions 26 to 353 of the family's 1533-position model. The record is from RNAcentral.
AGAUUGAACGCUGGCGGCAUGCCUUACACAUGCAAGUCGAACGGCAGCACGGGAGCAAUCCUGGUGGCGAGUGGCGAACGGGUGAGUAAUACAUCGGAACGUGCCCAAUCGUGGGGGAUAACGCAGCGAAAGCUGUGCUAAUACCGCAUAAGAUCUACGGAUGAAAGCAGGGGAUCGCAAGACCUUGCGCGAAUGGAGCGGCCGAUGGCAGAUUAGGUAGUUGGUGAGGUAAAGGCUCACCAAGCCUUCGAUCUGUAGCUGGUCUGAGAGGACGACCAGCCACACUGGGACUGAGACACGGCCCAGACCUCCGUACGGGAGGCAGGCA